RNAcentral lists this ribosomal RNA (393 nucleotides) under uncultured bacterium. Its description in RNAcentral is "partial 16S ribosomal RNA". It matches the Rfam family "Bacterial small subunit ribosomal RNA", at positions 523 to 918 of the family's 1533-position model. The record is from RNAcentral.
AUACGGAGGAUCCGAGCGUUAUCCGGAUUUAUUGGGUUUAAAGGGAGCGUAGGUGGACAGUUAAGUCAGUUGUGAAAGUUUGCGGCUCAACCGUAAAAUUGCAGUUGAUACUGGCUGUCUUGAGUACGGUAGAGGUGGGCGGAAUUCGUGGUGUAGCGGUGAAAUGCUUAGAUAUUACGAAGAACUCCGAUUGCGAAGGCAGCUCACUGGACCGCAACUGUCACUGAUGCUCGAAAGUGUGGGUAUCAAACAGGAUUAGAUACCCUGGUAGUCCACACAGUAAACGAUGAAUACUCGCUGUUUGCGAUAUACAGUAAGCGGCCAAGCGAAAGCAUUAAGUAUUCCACCUGGGGAGUACGCCGGCAACGGUGAAACUCAAAGGAAUUGACGGGG